GCCAGGUGUAGUGGCAUGCACCUGUAGUCCCAGCUACUCAGGAGGCUGAGGUGGGAGGAUCACUUGAGCCUGGGAGGUUGGGGUUACAGUGAGCCAAGAUUGUGCCACUGUACUCCAGCCUGGGCUAUAGAGCAAGACCCUGUCUCAU
RNAcentral lists this non-coding RNA (148 nucleotides) under Homo sapiens (human). Lineage: Eukaryota; Metazoa; Chordata; Mammalia; Primates; Hominidae. The record is from Rfam by way of RNAcentral.